GCGCCUGUAGCUCAGUGGAUAGAGUGACGGCCUCCGGAGCCGUAGGUCGGGCGUUCGAAUCGCCCCAGGCGCG
Molecule: transfer RNA, 73 nt
Filed under: Fretibacterium fastidiosum
Lineage: Bacteria; Thermotogati; Synergistota; Synergistia; Synergistales; Aminobacteriaceae
Description: Synergistetes bacterium SGP1 tRNA
Rfam family: tRNA
About the family: Transfer RNA (tRNA) molecules are approximately 80 nucleotides in length. Their secondary structure includes four short double-helical elements and three loops (D, anti-codon, and T loops). Further hydrogen bonds mediate the characteristic L-shaped molecular structure. tRNAs have two regions of fundamental functional importance: the anti-codon, which is responsible for specific mRNA codon recognition, and the 3' end, to which the tRNAs corresponding amino acid is attached (by aminoacyl-tRNA synthetases). tRNAs cope with the degeneracy of the genetic code in two manners: having more than one tRNA (with a specific anti-codon) for a particular amino acid; and 'wobble' base-pairing, i.e. permitting non-standard base-pairing at the 3rd anti-codon position.
Source: Rfam by way of RNAcentral